GGUUUUAAACUUUUUCAGCAGGGAAGAAGCGCAAGUGACGGUACCUGCAGAGGAGCGCCGGCUAACUACGUGCCAGCAGCCGCGGUAAUACGUAGGCGCAAGCGUUGUCCGGAAUUAUUGGGCGUAAAGAGCUCGUAGGGCGGUUUUGUCGCGUCUGGUGUGAAAACUCGAGGCUCAACCUCGAGCUUGCAUCGGGUACGGGCAGACUAGAGUGCGGUAGGGGAGACUGGAAUUCCUGGUGUAGCGGUGGAAUGCGCAGAUAUCAGGAGGAACACCGAUGGCGAAGGCAGGUCUCUGGGCCGCAACUGACGCUGAGGAGCGAAAGCAUGGGGAGCGAACAGGAUUAGAUACCCUGGUAGUCCAUGCCGUAAACGUUGGGCACUAGGUGUGGGGCUCAUUCCACGAGUUCCGUGCCGCAGCAAACGCAUUAAGUGCCCCGCCUGGGGAGUACGGCCGCAAGGCUAAAACUCAAAGGAAUUGACGGGGGCCCGCACAAGCGGCGGAGCAUGCGGAUUAAUUCGAUGCAACGCGAAGAACCUUACCAAGGCUUGACAUGCACGAGAAGCCACCAGAGAUGGUGGUCUCUUUGGACACUCGUGCACAGGUGGUGCAUGGUUGUCGUCAGCUCGUGUCGUGAGAUGUUGGGUUAAGUCCCGCAACGAGCGCAACCCUCGUCCCAUGUUGCCAGCGGGUUAUGCCGGGGACUCAUGGGAGACUGCCGGGGUCAACUCGGAGGAAGGUGGGGAUGACGUCAAAUCAUCAUGCCCCUUAUGUCUUGGGCUUCACGCAUGCUACAAUGGCCGGUACAAAGGGCUGCGAUACCGUAAGGUGGAGCGAAUCCCAAAAAGCCGGUCUCAGUUCGGAUUGGGGUCUGCAACUCGACCCCAUGAAGUCGGAGUCGCUAGUAAUCGCAGAUCAGCAACGCUGCGGUGAAUACGUUCCCGGGCCUUGUACACACCGCCCGUCAAGUCACGAAAGUCGGUAACACCCGAAGCCCAUGGCCCAACCGUUCGCGGGGGGAGUGU
RNAcentral lists this ribosomal RNA (1025 nucleotides) under Cellulosimicrobium sp. 133-10. RNAcentral's name for it is "bacterial SSU rRNA". It matches the Rfam family "Bacterial small subunit ribosomal RNA", at positions 421 to 1455 of the family's 1533-position model. The record is from RNAcentral. Lineage: Bacteria; Bacillati; Actinomycetota; Actinomycetes; Micrococcales; Promicromonosporaceae.